GCCGAGCGGUAGAGAUCUUCGGAUCUUUGAGAGCGGCGCACGGGUGCGGAACACGUGUGCAACCUACCUUUAUCAGGGGGAUAGCCUUUCGAAAGGAAGAUUAAUACCCCAUAAUAUAUUGAAUGGCAUCAUUUAAUAUUGAAAACUCCGGUGGAUAGAGAUGGGCACGCGCAAGAUUAGAUAGUUGGUGAGGUAACGGCUCACCAAGUCAAUGAUCUUUAGGGGGCCUGAGAGGGUGAUCCCCCACACUGGUACUGAGACACGGACCAGACUCCUACGGGAGGCAGCAGUGAGGAAUAUUGGACAAUGGGUGAGAGCCUGAUCCAGCCAUCCCGCGUGAAGGACGACGGCCCUAUGGGUUGUAAACUUCUUUUGUAUAGGGAUAAACCUUUCCACGUGUGGAAAGCUGAAGGUACUAUACGAAUAAGCACCGGCUAACUCCGUGCCAGCAGCCGCGGUAAUACGGAGGGUGCAAGCGUUAUCCGGAUUUAUUGGGUUUAAAGGGUCCGUAGGCGGACUCGUAAGUCAGUGGUGAAAUCUCAUAGCUUAACUAUGAAACUGCCAUUGAUACUGCGGGUCUUGAGUAAGGUAGAGGUAGCUGGAAUAAGUAGUGUAGCGGUGAAAUGCAUAGAUAUUACUUAGAACACCAAUUGCGAAGGCAGGUUACCAUGUCUUAACUGACGCUGAUGG
This 690-nucleotide ribosomal RNA is filed under the name Chryseobacterium sp. T68.09.P.LAT.MA.H.Kidney.D. RNAcentral describes it as "bacterial SSU rRNA". It matches the Rfam family "Bacterial small subunit ribosomal RNA", at positions 61 to 752 of the family's 1533-position model. Lineage: Bacteria; Pseudomonadati; Bacteroidota; Flavobacteriia; Flavobacteriales; Weeksellaceae. The record is from RNAcentral.